Molecule: ribosomal RNA, 253 nt
Filed under: uncultured bacterium
Lineage: Bacteria
Description: partial 16S ribosomal RNA
Rfam family: Bacterial small subunit ribosomal RNA
Source: RNAcentral
UACGUAGGGUGCGAGCGUUAAUCGGAAUUACUGGGCGUAAAGUGUGCGCAGGCGGCAGAGCAAGUCGAGUGUGAAAGCCCCGGGCUUAACUUGGGAAUUGCGCUCGAAACUACUUUGCUGGAGUGUGGCAGAGGAAGGUGGAAUUCCACGUGUAGCGGUGAAAUGCGUAGAGAUGUGGAGGAACACCAAUGGCGAAGGCAGCCUUCUGGGCCAACACUGACGCUCAUGCACGAAAGCGUGGGGAGCAAACGGG